Molecule: ribosomal RNA, 253 nt
Filed under: uncultured bacterium
Lineage: Bacteria
Description: partial 16S ribosomal RNA
Rfam family: Bacterial small subunit ribosomal RNA
Source: RNAcentral
UACGGAGGGUGCAAGCGUUAAUCGGAAUUACUGGGCGUAAAGCGCACGCAGGUGGCUGAGUCAGUCGAUUGUGAAAGCCCUGGGCUUAACCUGGGAAUUGCAGUCGAUACUACUCAGCUAGAGUAUGGGAGAGGGUAGUGGAAUUCCCGGUGUAGCGGUGAAAUGCGUAGAUAUCAGGAGGAACACCGGUGGCGAAGGCGGCCACCUGGACGGUUACUGACGCUGAGACGCGAAAGCGUGGGGAGCAAACAGG